CUAGCAUCUCUGUCUGGUAUCUAGCCAUUGUGAACACUGCGAAUGCAGUCAUGCAGGAAAUAGACUGGGAACCAUGUCUUUGGAAACAGGUUUGUGAACCAUUUGGGAUCCCAAACCAGAUGUUGUAAACUGUAUAUUUUGAUUCAUCCUGGAAGUGCAAGGUGUCAUAUGAGAUACCUACUAGUAAUUACUGAAGGGGAUCCCAAAUGGUACCAAGUUUUGAAGAUUUCCUGUUUUUAGGAUGGAGCUUCUGCUUUGCAACUCCCCAGUACAUUAGAACAGUCAUAUUUGGAUUGGACUAGAGUUUUUUUUUUUUUUUUUGACUGAUUGCAACAUAAUUCAAUGUUUUAUGUCAAAUGGCAUGAACAUGAGAAUAUAAAACAGUAGAAGGCUUUUAUUCUCAACAAACGUUCUGUUGAGGGUGGUUUCCUGCUAACUGUGAGAUGGUAGCUGUUUUUUAUUGAUACUCAACUAUCAUGUUUGUCUUGGAAGAUGUUGUGCUCUAAUGUUCUGGUGCACAGAGUGUUUUAUCACCAUAGAAAUAACUAAAUGUGCAUUUACCAGACGCUGUAGAUGACCGAUUGAACCGAUUCUUGCUCUUAAAGUAACAACACAGUGUUAUCUUACAAAUGUGAAGUCUGGACUAAACCUCGUCCACAAACCUUGAUUUUUGACUAAACACACCAAAAGAGAUGCUCUAAAACCAAGAGCAAAUGCUGUACAACAAUAAUGCAGAAUGCUCAAGAAUUUUAAAUGGAGAGUCCCAGUUCAGACCCAUUCGACCAUUUUGCAUCCCUGUUUCACUAAGCAUUUAAUUAUGUCGGGUUGCAUUAUGGUUCUUGGGAAACCAGCCUGAGAAAAGAUGACCCAAAAUUCUUGUUGUCGUUACUCACCAGUCCACAGCAGACAUCAGCAGACCUUUUUUUGCAGAAUGUAUAUAAUAUCAAUGAAUACUAACUAUACACAUUGUGGGCUGUUCAACAAUAGAGUGCCAGAAAGUGAAGACACGCAGAGAAUCUGUAGAUACUUAAACCAGGGUAGUCAAAAAAGCUGUAAAACCUUGUGUGCACUUUUGGGCAUUUUAUUUUUUGUUUUCUUUUGUACAUACUACUAGCAUUUAAGAUGUUUGGGUUGACAUGUCUGGUUAUAGUGCAAUAUAUUUUGUAUGCAAGCAGUUUCAAUAAAUAAAGGUUGAUCUUCCUCCGUU
Long non-coding RNA from Amphiprion ocellaris (clown anemonefish), 1207 nucleotides. The record is from Ensembl. Lineage: Eukaryota; Metazoa; Chordata; Actinopteri; Pomacentridae.